UACGGGGGGAGCAAGCGUUGUUCGGAUUUACUGGGCGUAAAGGGCGCGUAGGCGGUCAGCACAAGUCAGUUGUGAAAUCUCCGGGCUUAACUCAGAAAGGUCAACUGAUACUGUGCGACUAGAGUGCAGAAGGGGCAACUGGAAUUCUCGGUGUAGCGGUGAAAUGCGUAGAUAUCGAGAGGAACACCUGCGGCGAAGGCGGGUUGCUGGGCUGACACUGACGCUGAUGCGCGAAAGCCAGGGGAGCGAACGGG
Molecule: ribosomal RNA, 254 nt
Filed under: uncultured bacterium
Lineage: Bacteria
Description: partial 16S ribosomal RNA
Rfam family: Bacterial small subunit ribosomal RNA
Source: RNAcentral